This 3136-nucleotide ribosomal RNA is filed under the name Durio zibethinus. Its description in RNAcentral is "eukaryotic LSU rRNA". The stretch from base 565 to 3136 matches the Rfam family "Eukaryotic large subunit ribosomal RNA". The record is from RNAcentral. Lineage: Eukaryota; Viridiplantae; Streptophyta; Magnoliopsida; Malvales; Malvaceae.
AUUCUGCCUCCUAGGUAAGCGAAACGAUCAGUAUCGCAACCCAUGACUAAAUAACGAAUCCUUGACAUGAAUCACCAAGGAAUCAAAAUGAAAAAGAGCACAUGUGCCAUCACCAUCCUAUUUAUGAUGCAUGCAAUGUUGGCAUUGUGGCUCUUUUUGUCAUGAAAAACCAAAAUGACUCUCAGUAAUUGAUAUCUUAGGUCUCGCAUCAAUGAAGAUCAUAGUGAAAUGCAAUACUUAGUGUAAAUUGUAAAAUCUCAUGAAAUAUCUAUUCUUUGAAUGCAGGUUGUGCCCUAGGCCCUUAGGUCAUGGGCACACCUGCCUAGGUGUCAUGCACCAUCGCCCCCUCUAACUCUCUACCCAUCAGGCUCCUGGUGAUGGAGGUAAAAGAUGGCCUCCCAUGAUCUCAUUGAUCAUGGUUGGCUUAAAAAUGAUUCUUCGACAAUGAUAGUGCCAUGAACACCUGUGGUAAAGCUCUCAAUGUACCUUGUCUUUGGUGAUGCACAUUCAUUGUCCAUCCACACCCCAUCAAACCCCUCAUACACUUGGUUAAUGCUUGCAUCAUGACCCUAGAUCAUGAAAGAUUAGUCGUUAAGUUUAAGCAUAUCAAUAAGCAAAGGAAAAAAAACUUGCCAAGAUUCCCUAAUAAUGGUGAACAAACCAGGAAUAGCCUAGCUUGAGAAUAGAGCACCCCCAGAGUCUAAAUUGUAGUCUGGAGAAGCAUCCUCAGUGAUGGAUGAAAUCCCAAGUCCCCUAGAAAGGUGCAUCGAAGAAAGUGGAAGCCCUAUUAUGCAUGGAUCCUAUCGUACCACAAGGCAUUACCUACGAGUUGGGUUGUUUGGGAAUGCAGCCCCCAAUUGGGUGAUAAAUUCUAUCCAACGCUAAAUAUAAGUGAGAGACCGAUAAUUAACAAAUACUGCAAGGGAAACUUAAAAAGGACUUUGAAAAAAAAGUCAAAAAGUGCUUGAAAUUGUUAAGAGGGAAAUGGAUGAGGGCUAGUAAUAUGCCCCAGUCAGAUGUGGAAAGGCAACAGCUAGUCUAUCGAUUAGCUUAGGGCAUGGAUCAACAUAGGUCAUGAUGGUAGCCUAAGCUUAGGCUUUCAAUAUGCCCAACUACAUGCUAAUGUAGAACCCAUAAAGGGUGUUGGUCAAUUAAGAUAGAAGGACAUUAGUUAUGGAAGUUGAAAUCCACUAAGAAGUGUGUAACAACUCGCUAAAUGAACUAGCCCUAAAAAUGGAUGGUGCUUAAGUGCACAACCUAUACCUGGCCAUUAGGAAAAGAGUUAGGCCUCGAUGAAUAGGAGCAACCAUCAAAAUAGAUCUUGUUAGUAAUAAAAAAUAUUCAAAGAGAACUUUGAAGGCUGAAGAGGGGAAAGGUUCCAUGUGAAUGGCACUUGCACAUGGAUUAGUUGACCCAAAGAGAUGGGGAAGCCCAACAAAUAGUGCAUCCAGUGCAAGCUUCAAAAGGGAAUCAAAUUAAAAUUCCUAUACCAAGACACGAUGGCUGUUGGCAAUGUUAAGGAGUUCAGAGACAUUGUUGAAAGCCUCAAUAAGAGUUGUCAUUUCCAUUUAAUGAACUACCCACCCUAGAAAUGGCUCAACCAAAGGUAGGGUCCCAUGGCUAGAAUAGGAUCGCAUGUGUGUGGUUCUGGUGCACCCAGUGGCCCUUGAAAAUUCAAAGGACUAAGUGCCAUCCACACUUAAUUAUACUCUUAACCGCAUUAGGUCUCCAAGGUGAAUAGCCUCUGGUCAAUGGAACAAUGUAGCAAGCAAAUUCAAAAAAAUGGAUCUGUAACCUCAGGAAAAGGGUUAGUUUUGAGGGCUAGGCUCGAAGGCCUAGUCCCCCCUCAGCUAUCGAUGACAACUCAAGCUACUCCCAUGGUGAUAAUGGGUUGCCACGUGCCAAUUAGGGGAUGGACUAGGAACGUCUCCUUUGGGGGCUUUCCCUGGGCGAUAAAUAGUUGACUCAAAAUUAGUACAAAUAAGGGGAAUUUGAUUGUUUAAUUAAAACAAAGCAUUAUGAUGGUCCCUACAAUUGCUCACACAUUGUGAUUUCUGCCUAGUGCUUUGAAUGUCAAAGUGAAAAAAUCCAACUAAGCGCUAUAAAUGGUAAGAGUAACUGUAAAUCUCUUAAGGUAGCCAAAUGCCUCAUCAUCUAAUUAGUGACAUACAUGAAUGGAUUAAUGAGAUUCCCACUAUCCCUAUAUACUAUCUAGUGAAACCAAAACCAAGGGAAUGGGCUUGGUAGAAUUAAUAAGGAAAAAGACCCUAUUAAGCUUGACUCUAGUUUAACUUUGUGAAAAGACUUUAGAGGUGUAGGAUAAGUGGGAGCCCUCGGGCGAAAUUGAAAUACCAUUACUUUUAACAUUAUUUUACUUAUUCUGUGAAUCAAAAGCAGGGCACAACCCCUUCUUUUAGACCCAAGGUUGGCCUCAAUUAGUCGAUCUAAGAGGAAGACAUUGUUAGGUAGGGAGUUUGGCUAGGGUGACACAUCUAUUAAAAGAUAAUGUAGGUGUCCUAAGAUAAGCUCAACAAGAAUAGAAAUCUCAUGUGGAAUAAAAGAGUAAAAGCUCAUUUGAUUAUGAUUUCUAGUACGAAUACAAAUUGUGAAAGCAUGGCCCAUUGAUCCUUUAGAUUUUUUGAAUUUAAAGUUAAAGGUGUCAAAAAAGUUAUCAUAGUGAUAAUUGGUUUGUGGCAGGCAAGCAUUCAUAGCAACGUUGCUUUUUGAUCUUUCGAUGUCAGCUUUUCCUAUCAUUGUGAAGUAAAAUUCACCAAGAGUUGGAUUAUUCACCCACCAAUAGGGAAUUUGAGCUGGGUUUAGACUAUCAUGAGAUAGGUUAGUUUUACCCUACCGGUGGUAGCAUCAUAACACUAAUUCAACCUAGUAAGAGAGGAAUCGUUGAUUCGCACAAUUGCUCAUUGCACUUGGUUGGAAAGCUAGUGGCACGAAGCUAUUGUGCACUAGAUUAUGAUUGAAUGCCUCUAAGUCAAAAUCCAGGCUAGAAGCGAUGCACUCACCUAUCUCUCGAUUGUCAAUCCAUAGUAAGGGUCCAUCACCCUUAAGGGCAUGUGUCAUCGGUGCAACCCCUAAGGCAAACAAGCCACACAGGCCUCCUUAAAGCUUAAUUGCCAUUAAG